CUGUAAGUUGAGAAUUAGGUUUUAUUAGGUGGCAUACUGAGGGCUUACACCCAGGCAGCAGCUUCGUAGACCGCUCUGAGGGACCGUUCCAAAGAGGUCAGUGAGGAAUGGGGAUGCAGAGAAAUUUUUGCAACAAAAACCAGAGAGUGGGAACAUCCAACAGUGACUGUUAUUUUAAGAAAAACCAGACAUCUCACAGGAAGGAAGGGAGUGCUUUUCUGUGUCUGGGAAGAUGCAGGGUUCUGGGUUCAGUGAAACCACUCCUUUCAUAGGCACCUCAGCUCCUUGGGGCCAGAGUCCUAUUUUUCCCCAACCCACCAUCCUUCCCCACAGGAGGCACUGCCCAGAGCAGCUGUGGUGGCUGCUGGCUUGAUGGCUGCAAGCGUGAUGGCUGCAAGCGUGUUUAUUUACGGGAAAGGUGAUAUUAAAAGGUAAUGCAUGUUGGAUUAAAAAAACCCAUUUGUAUUGAGAUGUCUUUCAACGCCCAGAAAACACACUGAUCAAUCCUGUGACUUUUGAGGAAUAUAUGGAAAGUUAAGAUUCCCAUCAAAAUGUCUUUAUGUCCAAGAAACACGGGAUCUGAAUCACUAUCCAUAUAAAGAAGUUUCUCCCUGUGGAUGACAGCGGUGCCUUACCACGCAUCAAAUUGAAACCGUAAAUUUGUUCCUGAGCAGGACUCUACGGAGCCUUCGCAUGUCCUCUGCCUGCUUCCUGUCGGUAGAAAAGCUUUAGCCUCAGGACCCAGCCAUAAAAAAGAAUGACACCACCUCAUUCGUUGCAACAUGGGUGGACCUAGAGACCCUCAUGCUGAGACAUCCCUCUGACAGAGAAAGACAAAUACCGCAUGAUAUCACUCCUAUGUGAAAUGUAAUAAAAAUGACAUAAAAACUUAUUGACAAAACAGAAACAGACCCAUAGAUUUCAAAAUAAAACUUAUGGUUAGCAAAGGGGAAAUGGGGGGUGGGGAGGUAGGAUAAAUGAGGAGGUUGGGAUUAACUUUUAAUAGAUACACUGUAUAUAACAUGGAUAAGCAACAAAGAGUUGCUGUCUGACACAGGGAAUGCUAUUCGAUAUUCUGUAACCAUCAGCAUGGGAAAAGAACCUGAAAAAGAAUGGAUAUGCGUGUAUGUAAAAUAGUUUCACUUGGCCGUACACCUGAAAUUAACACAACAUUAUAAGUCAACUAUACUCCAAUAUUUUUUUAAAAAAAGAACAAAUAUCCAAGCAAAAAGAGGAUGCAAUUUGAAUUUGAAUUUGAAUCACUCUAAACAUAUUAAUACAGUAUUUCUGCUAGUUAAAACCAAACCAAAAAAUAAAUAAAUAAAUAAAUAAAUAAACCUUUAGCCUCCUAGGCCUUCCCUGAGUUUCAGAACAAAUUUAAUCAGAGAAGUGAGAAAAUUCAGAAAUAAAGGAAAACCGUCAAGCAAGACAAACUAAGAAGAGUUUAGCCAUUCGACAAAGUCAAGGACCUCAAGAACCUUAAGUUCCUCCUCAAGGACUACAGGUGUGAUGACCGUUUUUAACUCCACGGCGAUUUUGAAGACCAGGAACGUUCAUGGGAAACACGUUCCAUUUGAUGUGAGCGUCUCCUCUGAGUUUCCUUGUGGUGUCUGCCUCCCAAAGCCUUCUUCCUCCCUCCUCCGUACCUGAUCAAGCACAGGUGAAGGAAUGAAGUCAUUGCUCUAGACCUGCCACCCAAGAGUCAGGAUGCAGACACAUCACCAAAGAACAAGGUCCUUCCAGAGUGGCCCGACUUUGGUGCUGUUGACAACUGAGGCUGGAUCCUUUAGGGUGGGGGCUGAUCAGGAGGAUGGGCAACUCCAGCGGAAGACUUAAGAGAGACAGAAGAAAUGCCUUCUCCACGGGCAGAUGGAGUGAGCAGUGUAGAAUCCAUCACCACAGUUCAAGGCAUCUCAGAGACUCAUUUCUGAAGCCAGGGCAGAAGAAUCGUGCUGCAUCUCUACAGAAACGUAGGAACUGGGACUGGUGGAUCAACAGUUAUUACAGAAGUUGAAAGAAGGAAGGAAAGAAGAAAACAUGAGUAGCAGAUGAAGAGAAACCCAUCAUUUUAUGUCUUUUUGCUUCUCGCUGCACCCUCACUCCAGGGAGACUCAGUGCAUGAGGUAAGUCUUAUUCACACUUGGCAUGACCGAGGCGGCAGGCAAUAUGUGGGAAAGACCUGGACUUUUGCAGAAGCUCUGCCCUUUACUCGUUAUGUGAUUGGAACGACGCCUGGGUCGCUUUUUGUCUCAGUGGUGCAGCAGUAAACAGAGGGAAAUAAUCUCUCUCCUAGUGGAUGUGCAGAUUCAAGGGGAUGUGGUCAUGGUGCUGAGAAGAGUGUGUGCCUUUUCAUUAUUGCCAACUAAUCACUUCGUGCACUUAUAUUUUAAAAGGGGCAAUUCAUUGAAUUUGAAUAAUAUCCAUUCCCUGUGCCGUUUUUCUUUUUGAUGGCAGUGUAGCUGAUUUAGAUUAUACUUCAAUCAAAAAGAAAGGAAAAAAAAGGAACAGGCAACGGAUUAAGAAAAUUGUGUUGUUUUAGCUGUACGUAAAGUGAUUCAGGUUAUUACAACAUAUUGAACGCGGGCUGUAGAUUAAGUCCUUAUUGUACAUUUGUUUUAUACGUGGUAGUGCGUAUCUGUUAAUCCCAAACUCCUAAUGAUUCCCUCUCCCACAUCCCUUUUCCCUUUGGUACCCAAGAGUUUGCUUUCUCCACCUGUGAGUCUAUUUCUGUUUUCUUAAAGAAGUUCAUUGGUGUUAUUUCUUUAACUCCAC
This is a non-coding RNA of Sus scrofa (pig), 2772 nucleotides long. The record is from RefSeq and is a predicted model, not a curated record. NCBI's taxonomy places the organism in Eukaryota, Metazoa, Chordata, Mammalia, Artiodactyla, Suidae.